This 251-nucleotide ribosomal RNA is filed under the name uncultured bacterium. Its description in RNAcentral is "partial 16S ribosomal RNA". It matches the Rfam family "Bacterial small subunit ribosomal RNA", at positions 88 to 339 of the family's 1533-position model. The record is from RNAcentral.
AUGGACAGCGGCGAACGGGUGAGUAACACGUGAAUAACCUGCCCUUCAAUUGGGGACAACCUUUCUAACGAGAGGCUAAUACCGAAUAUCGUAAUCAUUCGCAUGUUUGAUUACAAAAGGCUUCGGCCGUUGAAGGAUGGAUUCGCGUCUGAUUAGUUUGUUGGUGAGGUAAUGGCUCACCAAGACUACGAUCAGUAGCCGGCCUGAGAGGGUGAUCGGCCACAUUGGGACUGAGAUACGGCCCAGACUCC